This 699-nucleotide ribosomal RNA is filed under the name uncultured bacterium. RNAcentral describes it as "bacterial SSU rRNA". It matches the Rfam family "Bacterial small subunit ribosomal RNA", at positions 8 to 696 of the family's 1533-position model. The record is from RNAcentral.
AGAGUUUGGACCUGGCUCAGAUUGAACGCUGGCGGCAUGCCUAACACAUGCAAGUCGAACGGUAACGACGGGAGCUUGCUCCCGGGCGACGAGUGGCGGACGGGUGAGUAAUACUUAGGAAUCUGCCCAGUAGUGGGGGACAACUCGAGGAAACUCGAGCUAAUACCGCAUACGCCCUACGGGGGAAAGCGGAGGAUCUUUCGGGACUUCGCGCUAUUGGAUGAGCCUAAGUCGGAUUAGCUUGUUGGUGGGGUAAAGGCCUACCAAGGCAACGAUCUGUAGCUGGUCUGAGAGGACGAUCAGCCACACUGGGACUGAGACACGGCCCAGACUCCUACGGGAGGCAGCAGUGGGGAAUAUUGGACAAUGGGGGCAACCCUGAUCCAGCAAUGCCGCGUGUGUGAAGAAGGCCUGCGGGUUGUAAAGCACUUUCAGUAGAGAAGAAAUGCCCAUGGUUAAUACCCGUGGGUCUUGACGUAACCUACAGAAGAAGCACCGGCUAACUCCGUGCCAGCAGCCGCGGUAAUACGGAGGGUGCGAGCGUUAAUCGGAAUUACUGGGCGUAAAGCGCGCGUAGGCGGUUUGGUCAGUCGGAUGUGAAAGCCCUAGGCUCAACCUGGGAAUGGCAUUCGAUACUGCCUGACUAGAGUAUGGUAGAGGGAAGUGGAAUUUCCGGUGUAGCGGUGAAAUGCGUAGAUA